UGUGUUGUGUAUGGUUUCAGGCUGACAUAAAGACGGCUGUGUCCAUAGGACUUGAAGAGAAGCUGAGUCAUGAACUUGAUCAAGUCAGGGAACCCAUGGACCCUUAUGGCUUUUGAAAGAUGUCUCAGUGGGGGGGUUAAAACAUCAAAGAGUUCAUGUGAAGAAGUCUUAAAGUCGGUCCUUUAUCCUACAAAGAAAGGUGGUGCACUUCACAGGUCACUGAAGUGUGGAGUUGAGAAUGGUGGCAUCCACAAACCAAGAGAAGGGGAAUGAAGAAACAUCAACAUGAAGCUAACUUCAUGUUUGACUGACAGCAUUGAGGAGGAAUUGAAGAAGACCUUCCCAAAUGAAGGAGAAAGAGAACCAUUCAACGGGGUCAUCAAUACAUUUCCACUUGGCACAGAGGAGGAGAUGAGGAAGAAGGAGUGCGGAAAUGUCAAACUGCAGCUGACAUUUCUCAAGAGGAAGAAAAGAUGAAAACAAACCUCAAGAAACUCCUCCGUGAGCGUAAGAGAAGGAUCUCCAGCAGCCUGACAACAACAAUGGAGGAGACCAUGAAAGAAUGCUCUGACAGGAAGACAGAAGAUCACUACAGACAUAGAAAUACACCUCUACACAUUUUGAUGUCAACAUGUUUCUGUUUGAUGUAGGAGCAAAAGAAAUGAAAGGAGAAGGCACGCUGAAAAACAUGAGGGGAACGAUUGAAAUGCACGUUCAUGGUUCAAAAGACGUCAUGUUUGAUAAGGCUGAAGACGCCAUGAUGAAACAGCUGAGAGACCUGAUGCUUUGUCACAUUUGAUAUUUCCUCCUGCAGUCAAAUGAAACUAGGAACACUGCAACACAAACAUACAUGUGCACACAUGUCAGUGUUCAGUGAUCAAUAUUUCAAUGUUGAUUUAGUGGGAGA
Molecule: long non-coding RNA, 907 nt
Organism: Trematomus bernacchii (emerald rockcod)
Lineage: Eukaryota; Metazoa; Chordata; Actinopteri; Perciformes; Nototheniidae
Exons: 4
Source: RefSeq, a predicted model, not a curated record